Long non-coding RNA from Thalassophryne amazonica, 152 nucleotides. RefSeq lists it as uncharacterized. Lineage: Eukaryota; Metazoa; Chordata; Actinopteri; Batrachoidiformes; Batrachoididae. The transcript has 3 exons. The record is from RefSeq and is a predicted model, not a curated record.
GGAGUCCAGUCACUCGUGAAGAGCUCGGAGUAGAGCCGCUGCCCCUUCGCGUUGAGAGGAGCAAAGUGAGGUGGUUCGGGCAUCUGGUAAGGAUACCCCCUAGGCACCUCCCUAGGGAGGUGUUCCAAGCACGUCAAUCUGGGAGUAGACCC